Molecule: RNA transcript, 2962 nt
Organism: Ornithodoros turicata
Lineage: Eukaryota; Metazoa; Arthropoda; Arachnida; Ixodida; Argasidae
Exons: 9
Source: RefSeq, a predicted model, not a curated record
CACGCAUUGCUGGACAGUUUUCAAUUAGCCGAUCGCUUGAAGUUUGUUUUUGGCCUCGGGAAAGCUCGCGGAGCUUUUGAAGCCCGGUGCCGUUCUUGUCCACAUGCAUGAGCCGGCUGCUUCAGAAGAAAACGCGGAGCUCGCGAAAAGAAGACGAGAAGAGCUGGUGGAGGAGGCCCUCGCGGAUGAAUCGCAUGCCCCCAACGUGGACGUGUUUGAAGAGCUAGCUCGGACAGAACCCACCCAGCCGCUUGGGUCUAACAACGUGACACAAAGAGACAGUUAACCUUCCCUAUUCCACUGUGUGACGCCGCCUAUGGGACAACUACAGCCAACAAAGCCUUCCGAUGCUUCUCCAAUAGCAGAUCCAGCGCAAGUGCUCCAUUGAGUGUGCUACUCAGUGUAGUUUCUGGUUGUUCCCUCAGGUGGCUGCGACUACACAGGUCCCACCGCAGAAGUACACGUGUGACAAGUGAACUCAAACCUCUUUCAAGACAAGAAGCAAAGGACCACAGGUAUUUUAAUGUGUGACGAAUCGUUACGGGAACAACAUAAGGUGGACGAGCAUGGAAAUCCGAGCAAGCAUCUCUUCUGAGCACCAUCAAGGAGAAGGCUUUGAACGUCUCAAGGGAUGCUCGAUGCGAUUCUCCAGGUCAUUGCGCACUAAUGGGAACAUACACACUUCUGGAGACAACACUGAAUAAAGUGCUUCAUUUUGAGCAGAUAAUGUCACCUGAAGUUGGGUCCAGCAGCCAAAUGAAGAGAACAGGCCUUGAACGAGCAUUAGACUACCUUGAGCAACAAGACAUGACAAUUGAUAUGCUCAUAACGGACACACACACAGGCGUAAAGGUGUACAUGAAGACAGAGAGCCUAAAACAUCGAUUUGAUGUGUGGCACGUUGCUAGAGGCAUCAAGAAGAAGAUCAGUGCUGCAGCACAAACUAUGGCGCACCACAUACUAGGCCUGGGGUGUGCUAAAACAAGUUCAGACAAUGGGGACGAGCUUCUAGCAAAAUGGACAUCUGUCAUGCGGCACGUCAUUGAUAUCCACUACACCCGACGUGAUUUCAUGGUGGCCUAGGGGAGAGGGCUGUGGCUGCAAGAAGGCGCAGAAAUCUACAUGAAGCUCCAGAGCAUACUGUUGUCCAAGCAUCUGUUAGCAGACAUUCCAAGGCUAUCCCCAAGAGACUUGUGGGACUAUAUGACUAUAGGACUUAUGGACUGGAAGGUUAUCACAGUCUACUCAUACACUUUGCCCCAAAGUGUAACAGCUACACCUACAAAGGAAUGCAAGCAAGGUGCUGAAAGUUUGAUGUUAUGACAUCAUACUUCAUGAAAACAUUGACUAAUGCAUGUUGUUUUGCGGCAUUUGCUCUUCACUGUUCCCUUCACUAUAAACAUAUGAAGCAAUAAUGUAGAAAUUUCACCAGCCCACAGAACAGAGAUUGCUGCCUUGCACUCUAACCACAACAGCGCAAGGAUCAUACUCAAAAAUGAUGAUGGAUCUGACAAAUACAUCUUCAAGGGAUCGAAACCGAAGAAACAGUGGGUGAUCAUCCCGCUAAAAGAAAGCACGUCAUAUAGUUACGUACACAAGCAAGCCCAAGAUUCGCAGACAAAAACUUAAAGCGUGCUUCGCCUGCGUUACACCCAUUGACGCAAUGCAUAAGAAACGUAUAAUUUCAUUUUGGCGGAAAACGUCGACAUUUUUCUCUGGUUCUACACUGGAUCCUGUGAGGUCUAUAUACAAGAAAUUACGCCGAAAAAGAAUUAUCCGUAUAUCUAUAAAGGCUUUUGUUCCCCCGGCAUUUGAAAUCUUGCACAUUGUACUCAAUGGGGCAGAAGUAGCAUUCGCGCUUCAUCGUGAUUUCACAGUCCCAUACAUGAAAAGUUAUCCGCUUUAGGUAACUUUCCACCGCAGUUUCACCAUUAGGGGUACCAUGUUAGGAACCUAAAGUUGAAUGUCUUGAUUAUGUAGCGAGCCAGUUUUGUUCCCGAGGGCAUGAAAGUGCGACUAAAACGUAGGGGCAGAAGUAGCAUUCGCGCUUCAUCGUGAUUUCACAGUCCCAUACAAGAAAAGUUAUCCGCUUUAGGUAACUUUCCACCGCAGUUUCACCAUUAGGGGGACCAUGUUAGGAACCUAAAGUUGAAUGUCUUGAUUAUGUAGCGAGCCAGUUUUGUUCCCGAGGGCAUGAAAGUGCGACUAAAACGUAGGGGCAGAAGUAGCAUUCGCGCUUCAUCGUGAUUUCACAGUCCCAUACAUGAAAAGUUAUCCGCUUUAGGUAACUUUCCACCGCAGUUUCACCAUUAGGGGGACCAUGUUAGGAACCUAAAGUUGAAUGUCUUGAUUAUGUAGCGAGCCAGUUUUGUUCCCGAGGGCAUGAAAUGCGACUAAAACGUGAGACGUCGCACAUAAAGAGGGCUUAGCCGAACGACACUUCCGCAUGUAGGAAAGCGACUGUGCUUUUGGGCACGUGUAAAUGAGAGGGGGAAUGAAACUCGAAAGGGAGGGGAAUUAUCAGAGUUCACCACGCAUUCUCCUCUGAUAAGCAGCACCGCAAGACGGGUUUGAUAAAAUCAUGUACAAAAGAAAGGUGUGCUUUCACGGCCAAAAAGACUGAGAACAUUUCUGGUGACUUCUGCUUUAAAAACAGAAAAUACAACGCCGCAGAUACUGCGUUCCCCUGAGGUUCGCGUUUUGGGAAAUCGAACGCUCUCUUCUUCUUAGUAUCAAUUUUUUAAACUCUUUCUGACGUUGUAAUUAUGGCGGUAAAAAGAUGUAAAAAAAUUCUGUUGGCUGUAGUGUACAGUUAUUGCCAUGUGAUCUGUCCGCCGAUAAUUCCCUUUUAAUCGUUACCAUAUCUGCGACGGUCAUGUUUUUGCAUGUAUACAAUGUAUGCUUAUUUUUAUGUUUCACACUUUUCUUAAUUUUUCCUGGCAGCACCACGGGGAAGCUUGGU